GACGAACGCUGGCGGCGUGCUUAACACAUGCAAGUCGAACGGAAAGGCCCCUUUGGGGGUUCUCGAGUGGCGAACGGGUGAGUAACACGUGAGUAACCUGCCCUUGACUUCGGGAUAACUUCAGGAAACUGGGGCUAAUACCGGAAAGGAAUCCUUGCUGCAUGGUGGGGGUUGGAAAGCUUCGGCGGGUUUGGAUGGAAUCGCGGCUUAUCAGCUUGUUGGUGGGGUAGUGGCUUACCAAGGCUUUGACGGGUAGCCGGCCUGAGAGGGCGACCGGCCACAUUGGGACUGAGAGACGGCCCAGACUCCUACGGGAGGCAACAGUGGGGAAUAUUGCACAAUGGGCGGAAGCCUGAUGCAGCAACGCCGCGGGCGGGAUGACGUCCUUCGGGUUGUAAACCGCUUUCAGCAGGGGCGAAGCUUGUGGUGACGGUACCUGCAGAAGAAGCACCGGCUAACUACGUG
Molecule: ribosomal RNA, 465 nt
Filed under: uncultured bacterium
Lineage: Bacteria
Description: partial 16S ribosomal RNA
Rfam family: Bacterial small subunit ribosomal RNA
Source: RNAcentral